UUUCUAUAUGGGUGAGUAAAAUCCCAGUGUAUAUAAGUACUGUUGUUAUUUAUCUGUUGAUGGAAAUAUAGACUGAUUUCAUUUCCUUGUAAUUGUGACUAGAGCUACUAUAAGUAUGGCAGAGCAAGCAUCUCCAUAGUAGGGUGUGGACGCCUUUAGGUGAAUACCUGAGUGUAUACCUGGGAUACACAGUAGUUCUGUUUUGCAGCUACACUAUAAUGGCUACAUCAGUUUACACUUCAACCCACCCUGACACGGAUUCCUUUUUUGCUUCACCCUAGCCAUCAUGUGGUGUCAUUUGUUUUCUUGAUGCUAGUCAUACUUUGAUGGAAUCUCAGAGUAAUUUUCAUUUGCAUUCUCUGGUCACUAAGGAUGUUGAAGACUUUUGAAAAUAUUCAUUGGCCAUUUGUAUUUCUUCUUUUGAGGACCCUUGGCCUUUCCCCCCAUUUUUAAUUAAAAUGUAAUUAUCAUCACUUCCCUCUUUCCUCCCCCCAACUCCUCCCAUGUCUUCUAUAAGACCCUCAAAAAUAUAUGGCCGCUUUUUCUUUUUCUUUCCCCUCUCAGCAUCAUUAGUUGCCUGGUGUUCUUUGUCUAGAAGUGUGGCUCUAGGAGAUCUCCUGUGUUAGCCUGUUUAUUGGUGUUGUCAUUGUUCAGGUCUUAUUCAGGCAGCCAUAUUGUUGAGGUAUCAAAGGUGUAGCCUUCUGCCAUUUCCAGGAGACAGUCUCACUUCAGACUUCCUAGUCAUCUGCCUCUUAACAGUCUUUCUGCUCAGCUCCUCUGCAGUGAUCUGAGCUUUAGGUACAGAAGCUGUGUGGUAGAUAUAUCCUUUGGUACUCCUGUGCCAGUUGAUCUCAGCAUUAUAACCAGUUGUAGUUUUCUGUAAUGGUCUCUGUUUGCUGCAAAGCAAAGCUUCUUUGAUGUAGGCGUGAAAGCUACACUUUAUCUAUGGGUGUAAACUUUAGAGUGCAGUUAGGAAUUAUUAGGAAUUAGCUAGGUCUAGUAAAGUAAUGGUAGUGGGUUUCUCUCUAUGUUCCAUGACCUCUCCACUAGCCCCAGGUAGGGUACUUGGCUAGGUUUCUAUUACCAGGCAUAUUUCUCUCCUUUUGAGUGGGCCUUAAGCCCAAUUAGACAGCCAGGGUUAUCACCAAGAUAUCAGUCCCACUAUUGCACCAAUAGAGAUAGCUUGCCAAGCUGGCAUGUGUUGUUUCAUUGACAGUAUAGCUGGAUAUAAUUAUUCAUUGCAUCCUUCUGUUGGCAUCUUAAAUAGUACUUACUGGCCUGUGGAAGCCUGACAGAAGCAAUCUUCUGAGUCUUGUAUCCAAAGUGUGUAGUGUCUUCAACAAGAGGGUCAUUACUUCAGUCUCUGAGAACCAACCAUGGGUAACAGCAAUAGCCUAUAUUGGUUUGGAGGUCACUUGGACUACACUAACCAACAACUCAAAUGGAGAUUUCCCAUGCCUGAUUCUGGGGUACAGCAUACAGGAAAUUGAAACAGAACCAAGAAAGGGGAAACAGAAAAAUCUGGAAACAGGUUUCUAUAUAGGGAGGGGGAGGGAAGUCAAAAGAAGAGGGGCAGAGAGAGAACAAAUACUAUUAGGGAUGUUUCAUAAAGUCUCCAGGAGUCAUAUUAUUUCCAAUUUACCUAAAAUUACAUAUAGCUUAUAUAUAAUUCCUGUGUAUGCACACACAUAAACAUCUUAAAUGAACUUAUGCUACUUGGGCUGACGAUCCAACCCACAAGAGCCAUAGAGUAUCUUAGGGAAUUUUUUUGGAUUCAGUUGUUUUCUUGUUUAGUUUUUUGAUUUCUUUGUUUAUUCGGGCUAUUCAUCCUCUGUCAGGUGUUGCUUGAUAUCCACUCAGCAAGUGUUUGCACUACGUAAAACUAGUUUGCCUAAUAUAUCUGUUUAAUAAUGAUCACCUUGGAAAGAAAUGGUUAUUUAUUUUUCAUGGUCAACUUUUGCAUCCUCAGUAGCCACCAAGCCUUCUCUCAUUCACCUUUCCUAAUUAAGCAAUCUUUAGUGUGCCUGCUGUAAUUACAUACAAAACCUAGGAUAUAAGCAAAUACCUUACACUAAAUUUGUUCCAAAGUGAAUAUUAUUUUCCUCCUGAAUACCUGUUAAGUUUACUCUGCUUAUAUACUUAGGUGAAGCCAAUCCCAAUGUUUUGAUGUUUUGUUAAUCUGAGAAGGGUUAUUAAAGUGAGCCAUGGCCCUUUUGAAAAGGGCAAAGCUGGAUAACUUCUAAAGAGGACAAAGGAUCCACAAGCUCAGAUCCAGAGUCCAAACUCUGUGACUCACUAAGGUCGGACAUUGAUAAGUUAUCUAAACUCUCUAAGCAUUUGUUUUCUUAUCUGAGCACUUUGGAACCUGCACUGUGGGGUUUUGACAGAGAUAUGUGAACCCGUGUGAGUGGGCACUCUUAGGUCUGUGUUUUAUUAGCAGUGUUUGAUGUUGUUACUCCUGCACGGAGCUCCCCAGUAAUUAUGGAACCUGCAUUUAGUCCCAGUGAACAUUACAUGGCGUUUCCACAAGCUAGGUCACAGAGAUAAUUGUAGCACAUACUUAAUACAAAUCCACCCUUGUCUCAUAUGGUUGUUAAUUCUUAGAGUAGUGAGCUUUGGUAGGAUGAGAAACUCUGCUUUGCUUUCAUGUUAAGCCAGGACUUAAUUCUCUGACCAGUGUGUAAAUUGGCUGUCCCUCGAGAGAGAGCUACUCAUCGGAUCUAUGAUCAGGCAGAGUACACUUGGUACAAAGCAUGGCUGCCUUUUGUAGAGAUCGUGAGUGAGUCACUCUCCUUUGUACAUAUGCUGACAGAUCUGCCAUAACAGGAGACAGAGUGGAAAGAAGUACGCCAAGGUAUCUGAAGAGGUGGAGGAGAACGGAGCCUAGACCAGAGCUCAUUUGUGCCGGGAGAAAGCUCAUCUCCUCAGUGAAACUCAUCUCCUGGGAGAGAUGGGUGAAUGUAUGUCCAAAGGUGUAGGCAUUGUGGUGGUAGGGAGAUCUUGAGACCCACACCUCAUAGCCCUGACCCCUCUGGCUCCUUCAGUCCUCCCAACUCUUCCACGAGAGUCUCUAAUGUUUGGCUAUGGGUGUCUUUCCAUCAACUGCUAGAUGAAGCGUCUCAGAGGACACUUAUGCUAGGCUUAGGUCUGCAAGCAAGACAGAAUCAUUAAUGGUGUCAGAGGAGGGCUCCUUCUCAUGAGAUGGAUCUCAAGUUGGGUGCUCUGCUUAUUAAGGGGCUGUAAUACGUAACAACACAGACUCAGAUGGUAGGCUGGUUUUCACAUUCAAACUUUAUUACUUUCCAUGAGAUCUUAAGCAAGUUAAACUCCUGUGCUUCUCCCUUUCAUCCAUUAAAGUGGCGGAUAUACCUAUAAAUACACCUGAUAGCACCCAUGACAUGAGACAGAGUUAAAUGGGACAGCAAAAAUUCUGUGUGGGUUCUUAUUCCACACUGUUAUCAGUUAUUUCUAUUAGAAUUUAAAACUUUCUUAUUUCUACGUAUACCCUAGUCAAGUAAACCGACAGAUGGGCAUUUUUCAUAGAUAUCCAUAUCUCGCAGCUACAUUAAGCAACGGACUUUGUGCCUUUGCCAGGAAAGCUACUGCUCAGCUAUCACACUGCCCUCCAGUUGUAUCAUUCCUUUCUGUUGGAUUUAAUGUCUACUCGCUUUUCACCACAGUGCCAUAGCUGGAGGGUAUAAGGAUGGGCCUGGAGUAAUGCAUGUGUGGAUAGCAUUUCCUUCAGCCUUGAUCAUACAGGCUGUUCUGAUGACCAGUACUAUAGACCCUAAGAUACCUUUGCUAAAAAAAAAACACUAGCUAGCCAUAGUUUGUUCUUCAGCACACCAGAGGUACGGUGACUUAGUUAGAAUUGUGCUUGAGCUGAUGUAGAUAAUUUUAUUAAUCUAUGUACAGACUUGAAGAUGACAUGCUAAUUAUAUUCUCCGUUAUACCCUGCUAGAAGGCAUUGACAAAGCUGUUCUCCUGCUGUCCUGACCUGUCCCAAAAUAUUGUUGUUAAUAGUUUUCUUUUUGCUAAAACUUGGUUCUAAAUUAUACACAGACCAAAAUUCUGACACGUUUAAGUUACUAAUAUUUCUUAUAUCAUUUUCUACUCGCUAUUGAAUGGACGAGACAAUUGUUACACAUUUGCUAGUGCAAAUUGUUACGCAUUUGCUGUUGAUGUUCUGUAUAAGUUAGCAUUGCUGCUUAGCAAUGUAAUUUCCCCCUAAGUCUUCUCUACCCAAAAUAAAUUGGUAUCACAUCCAUCCCAGAAAUAAAUAAGGAGUCUCUAAGCCCUGCCAUAAAAAAAAAAAUCUAGAACAAAAUAAAUGGUCUCAAUUAUACUAGUAUCUUUUGUCUGCACGGUUAGUUUUCCAAGAUACAAAGUCCUUUCAGGCCAUUGGGACAUUAGCACAACUGGUCAGCUCACGUUCAAACUGUUAAUGUCCCUUUGCCAUUCAGAUAGUGGUUCUUCUAUUUUGUUAGUUCUCUAGCAGGAAAACAGAUUAUUAGUUUUUUUUUUCUUAGAGAAUGUCAAUUUCUAUAAACUCCAUGGUCAGUUUGAAACAAUUUUUCACUUUUAACUUUGUUUCGAUUGUUGCAGUAGGAGAGAAUUUUGCUUGGAUCGAGUUGGUUUUCUGUCUUUGGUAUAUUCAUAAAUAGUGAAUGUUAAACAGUACCUAAGCCAGAAGGCACUAUAGAGCCCUGUGUACCUGCACACAUUGUCACCGUCACCUUAUUAAACAGGACACUGCCCUGUCUGUGAAAGCAAAUAGAAUGGUUCCACAGACAAUAUCCUUUAUUUCCACCUUUUCUGUCUUUCCAGUCUUUCUUGUCUGACUCUGUACUGUAAGAGAUAAGGCCGGGCUGCUAAAAAUUCACUCAUACCCUAGGUACAGGAGGCUGGUAAAAACAUUCACUCUGUCUUACAGUAAGUAAAUUCUCAGCAAUUCUUUGGUGAAAGGGUGGGUGGAUUAUUUGUGUGUUAGGUAUGGGUAUAAAUGAGUGAAUGAAAAGAGAAGUGGGCAGUGUACUGGCUGGGUUUCUGUCAUCAUUGCACAGGCUAGAGUCAUCACAGGAAGGAGCCUCGGUUGAGGAAAUGCCUCCAUGAGAUCCAGCUGUAAGGCAUUUUCCCAAUAGUGAUCAAUGGGGAUAGGCCCAGCCCAUGUUGGGUUCUGGGUUCUAUUAGAAGGCUAAGCAAAUCAUGAGAAGCAAGCCAGUAAGCAGCACUUCUCUGUGGCCUCUGCAUCAGCUCCUGCCUCCAGGUUCCUGCCCUGCUUGAGUUCCUGUCCUAACUUCCUCCUAUGAUGGACUAGGAUCUGGAAAUAUAAGCCGAAUAAACCCUUUCCUCCCCGACUUGGUUUUUGGUCAUGAUGCCUCAUCACAGCAAUAGAAACCCUAAUAGGCAGUGUGGAAAGCUAAAAUAUGGAAAUAAUUUGGAUUUUUUGUAUGCAAUUUAAUUAUCUCACUUUAUCUUCUCAGUUGUCUCAUGAUGUUGCAGAACAACAUUAAUAAGAUGCUGUGAAUGGAGAAAUUGAAACAGACUUCACAUGCCUCUUCUAAAGUUACACAACAAGUAUUACGUUACGUCAGUUAUAGAAUGUGAUCAAAAGAAUUGGAGCAUCCCUGUGUUUCUUUUCCUCAUAUCUCUUCUUCUUUCUUACCUGCUGGAUGCCCUCCCAAGUGCUGCUUGAUUUUUCUGCAGUCAUUUAUUAAGGGCGACAGGAAUCACAGAUGGUUAUAUUCUAACCCAUUUCCUUGGGGUUGUGUAUAAUCUUGGGUCUUAAUCUUAAUUCCAUGGCCUAUUGUGAGUGGGAGGUAGAGGGAAGAUUAGAAGGCAGUGGAUAAAACGAGAUGUCCAAUGGAGAUGAGCUCCUUUGUAGGCAAGGUGAAAUGUGAAAGCUAACCAGGAGAUACAAAUGAAAAUCAAUCAGAAGGCAGCCUUUUAACACAGAUCCUUAAGACAGUAAUCUGCUUUUGGGCCGUGCCUUACACGAGGAUUUCGGAAGCUAUUCUCUCAAGUGUGAGAUCAGUGGUUAUGACAUUAUGGAAAAUUCCUGCUGCAUUUCUUUUCUUUAGUCUGAUACGUCUUCUGAUAACAAGGUGGUCUGAAGUGAGAAAGCUGAUUUCACUUCUGUAAAUAUCUAAGAACUUUCUGGUAGCGUUGUUCUCUUUCUAAACUAUUUUAGCUUUUAAAGAUUUAUGUAUUUAAGCCGGGCGUGGUGGCACACACCUUGAAUCCCAGCACUUGGGAGGCAGAGGCAGGCGGAUUUCUGAGUUCGAGGCCAGCCUGGUCUACAGAGUGAGUUCCAGGACAGCCAGGGCUACACAGAGAAACCCUGUCUCAAAAAAACAAAAAAACAAAAAAAAAACAAAAAAAAAAAAACCAAAAAAAAAAAAAAAAAGAAAGAAAGAAAGAAAGAAAGAAGGAAAAAAAAUUUAUGUAUUUAUUUUAAGGGUAGAGAUAUUUUCCCAGCAUGUAUCUAUGUGUACCACAUGCAUGCCUGAUGCCUGCUGAGGUCAGAAGGGGCUGGUGGAUCCUCUGGAACCAGAGUUAAGAUGGUGGUAAGCAUGUGGGUGCUGGGAAUCAAACCCAAGAGCAAUGACUGCUCUAAACGGCUGAGCCGCCUUUGAGCCUUUGGAGAAUGUCCUUACAUUCAAGUAAGAUGGUUUUCUUAAUAACUGCUCAUGGAUUUUUUUUUACAUGUCUUCAUAAGAACAUUCUAAUUGUGGCACACACCUUUAAUCCCAGCACUCGUGAAACAGAGGCAGGUGGAUGUCUGAGUUCAAGGACAGCCUGGUCUACAGAGUGAGUUCCAGGACAGCCAGGGCUACACAGAGAAACUCUCUCUCUCAAAAAAAAAAAAAAAAGCAAAACAACAACAACAACAAAAACAACUAAAAAAUGUUAUAAUUGAUAUAAAAACGUUUGUAAAUAUUAAGCAGAACAAAGAAUGAAACGGUGCCACUGGCAAGAACACACACAGUGCUACGUAGGGAGCACCAUACCAAGUGAAAGAGACUUCUCUCAGAAAGACUUUGCUUACUCUAAAGGGAAAGAGGACGAUGCAAGGAAGGAGAGAGGCCUCCAGACACCCAAGUCUCAAAGCAGAUGUUACAUAGAUACCUGUUGUUGCCUCAUACUGCACGUGAUGUUCAGGAGAUGUUCAAAGUCUGUAGUGACUGGACACAUUAACCUUUAGCCAACUUGCAAAUGUUUUAAAACAGUUUAAAGGAUGCUGCCAAGCAACAGACUGGCUUGACAGACUGAAAAAAAAAAUUUAGAAAGAAAAAUAACUUCUGUCUUUAAACACGUUCUUUUUCUUGUUCCUAUUCUUAGGUAUAAUCUGUUGCUGUUCCUAUGAGGGAAAAGUAGAUCAGCACAGUAGAGAAGUGAGAAGAGCACGGAGAACACCGAGGUCCCACUAGUUCCAGGUGGAGGACUCUAACCGUCCUGAGCAGGUAGUCCUGAGUCAUGUGAGACAGCUGCCUGAGCGAGCCACAGAGAGCCAGCCAGUAAGCAGUGUUCUUCUGUGACUUCUGCUUCAGUUCCUGCCUGUAGGUUCCUGUCUGGAGUUCCUGCCCUUGCCUCAAAUGAUGGACUUAAAGCUGUAAGCUGAAGUGAGUACUUUAUCACAGCAAUGGAAAGCAACCCAGAGCAGUAUCUCAGUUACAGUACUGGGGUCACAGAUGAGUUGACGGUUUAACGUCCCCUCUGUUUUAUGAGAUGUUAUGGGGAGCACUGGGAAUAGCUCAUCUUUACAGCUCUGGUAGAACUCAGCACCAACUCUCUACAGUCCUGGACACUUUCUACUUGGGAGAUUCAGUCUUGUUGCCUGUUGUAGAUCUGUUUAAGUUGUUUAUAACCACAGGUUUCAUAUUGGUGGGUGAUACAUGUGCAGAAAUGUUGCCAUUUCAUCUACAUUUUCUAAUUUAUGGGACUAUGGUUCUCAAAGCAUUCCUUGAUUAUCCCCUAUAUAUCAAUAAUAUUUAUUGUUCUGCCUGUCCUUUUCAUCAUGAAUUUUGUUAGUUGCGAUUCUCUCUGUUUGCUAGUUUGUUCAGGAUUUGUUAAUCACGUUUAUCUUUUCAAAGAACCAUUGUUUGUUUCACUGAAUUCAUUUUAUUGCUCUUUCAGUCUCCAUGUCAUUGAUUUCUACCUUGAUUUUUUUUUUUUUCUUAUUUCUUUGCAUAGCUUGGGUUUUUCUUUAGUAGUUUGGGAUUUGACUUUUUGUUGUGUUUCUAAGACCAGGAAGUUUGUUAGUUGGUUAGAAAUGUCUGAUCUUGAAGAAAAUAUGUAAUAAAAAAAAGAAAAAAAAAAGAAAUGUCUGAUCUGUUGAUGUUGGGCCUCGAGCCUCUGCACACCCCUGUUAGGUCUCAUCCCAAAAGUUGGGGUAAGUGGUUUUCAUUUUUAUUCCAUUCUAGAGAGUCUAUCAUUUCUUUCAUUAUCUUUUCAGUGACUCGGCAACCAUUUCAGAAUAUAUCCAUGUGUUUGUAGACUUUCUCUUGCUGUUCUAGUUUUCUUCCAUUCCUGAUGAUAUAUAGGAAAUCAUUUCAAUUCUGAUUUAUGUUUUCAGACUUGCACAGACAGUACUCUAGUUUUUUUUAAAAAAGUUUUUUUUUAUCUUAUGUAUAUGAGUACACUGUAGUUGUCUCCAGACACACCAGAAAAGGGCAUCAGAUCCCAUUACAAAUGGUUGUGAGCCACCAUGUGGUUGCUGGGAAUUGAACUCAGGACCUCUGAAAGAGCAGUCAGUACUCUUAACAUCUCUCCAGCCCCUCUCCCCCCAGUACUCUAGUUAGUAUCCAUCUGAUGCCCUUUUACAGUACAGUAAACAAAUGAUUUUUUUCCUAUUCUUCUCUAAAGAAUGAAUUUGUUCCCUGUCUCUCAUUCCUUCCCUGCUACUGUGGUAGCCACCCAGUUCUCUAUAAGCAGUACUGUUAAUGAGAGACUGAAAAAUGAGAAAGGGUCCUCGUGAGGGAAUUGUCCAGAGCUUAGUUCAAAACUCCCAAUUUAGCUAGGCAAGGAGGUGCACACCUCAGCACUUAGGAGGCUCAGUAAAAGGAUUAGGAGUUCAAAGUCAGCCUUAGGUAUGUGAGAUCCUAUCUCAAAUAGCAAGCACAGACUUUCCCUAUGGCCCAGACUGCAGUCUCUUCUGUAGAUAGUUCUGUGGUCUGCUGAGUGGAAUGUUUGUCCCAAAGCCUUUGGGUGCAGCAUUCUAUUGACGUCUGUUAAACCCAUUUGCUUUAUCAAGCACUUUAUGUUUCAAGUUUUUUUCUCAACGUUUGUCUGGGAAAUUGAUCUUUUGAUGAAUCAGUUACUAAAGCCACUCACUAUUAUUUUAUCUAGACAUAUCUGUCUCUUUGUGUCCAGGAGUUAAGUAUACCAAUAUUUGAUUCAUAUACAUUUAUCAUUGUUAUAUGCUAUUGAUGGAUUCUUUCCUUUAUUGAAUGUACUGGCCUUUAUCCUUCAACUUCAUUUUGCUUGAAGUCAACUUUGUCAAGUAUGAUAAUGGCUACUCUUGUCUACUUCCUGUACCUGUUUACUUGAUAUAUAGGUUUUCAUUCUUUGAAUUUUCUGUCUCAGACAAAAUCAUCUGGUUUUUUCAUAUGUGGAUCCUAAUUCUUAGUGUUUGUAUUAUGUAAAUAAGCACAAAAGUUCUGCUAAAUCUAUCCUUCUUGUUUGGUAACUUUUCAUUCACUAAUUUUAUUUCUUUAUAUUGUGACUGUGUCUUAAGAUUAUUUUCUUCAUUGAUCUUGCAGAUUUCCAACUUUGGUGUUUUUACUUCAAGUUUUCUACUCCAUUUUGAAAUUUAAAAUUAAGCUUUAAGUUUCUGGUCCUCUUCUCCUUUGCUCUGCCAUUCUAUGCCCUAUACCUGAUUCAGCUUCUGACCAUGUCUUCUCAUAUGACUUUCAGAAUCAAGCGAUUCCUGACCAAGAAACAAAAGUAAAAUUGUCCUAUCCUACAGUGGAUUAAAAAAAAAAAAAACUGGUAACAAAUUCAGGUCCAGCUCCAAGAGAAGGCAGUGGGGAGAAGGAAACUGAGUCUGAAAGGGUUCACACAAUGGCAAGACUGAGGCUUUAAACUGCAUCAUGGUCAUCAGUCAGUCCUCCCAGAUGGAAUUCAACAUUCUUAACCUGGAGACUUGCUCAUAUCUAAAUUGGGGGUGUGGUUUGUCCAGUAAUUAAAUGUAGAACCUUAAGUUUCUAAAUUUUUUUUAUGCUGUCCAACUCUAUACUUGAAUACUCUCAUUGCUUUUCAAUUAAUGUGUCCUGUAUUUUUUCUUUACCAUCAAAGUCACCAUCCGAGAGCUCCGUUUCAAGUUGUUAUGUCCUUCUAAAUGGACACAAGUUCUAUUGUUAGAGCUAUCUGUGAGAAAUAGCAUUGAGGUAUCAUCCUUUCUGAUACUGAGAACUCCUAAACAAGGCAUGCCAAGAUAGCGGUGUGCUCUGCUCUAGUACUUCUCAUCCCGUCAGGUGAGACAGUGUUAGUGAGGUUCAUCUGCCAUCCCUAGACUGCAAGCAGCAAGCAGGGUGAGUGUUCUCCCUGUGUGAAUGUCCAGGAUCAGUUCAGUUCAGCCAACCACUCCUGUUCCUGGCAAUCACAUGAUGCCACUCCAGGCUCCACCAAGACUCAGAUAUUCUCAGAACCGACGUCUCAUGCCUACAGUAGGACAUGUCAAGAGUUCAGAACAGUACGUGGCAUAGAAGUGGUCAGUAAGGCCAUCACCAUCAUUAAGCUCAAUGCACUAUUCCAGUUUUCUUAAUAGUCAUCUUCCUCUAAGAGCCAGAGAGAAUACAGAACAAUCAGAAUAUGAUAGUCAAACUGGCCCUUUCAGAGUAUUUUGUAUUAAUCACUGUUUUAAAAAGUUAGUCUGUCUCUUCAGCUGUAGCUCGUCCUCCAAUGCCACAUCCAUUAAACAGGACUUUUAAAAAUGGCACAUUUGUGUUCUGUGUCCCAUGAAAAGGAAUCGGGGCAACUGCAGGCCUCAGAAAACAGAAACAUAGAGCCUAUCCUAGUGCGUCCUGUUCUUCUGGUACCUCGUGACACAAUCGGUCAGCUUUUAGUACAGUGCGGUCAACAAACCCAUAUGCACACAGCACUGUCCUCCCUCAAGCACACGCCUCGGGCACAAUCCCCAUCAUGGAGGACGGACAGGUCCAUGCACAGGGCACUGUCCUGCCUCAAGCACAUACCUUGGACACAGGGUGGAUGGACAGGUCCAUGCACAGGGUACUGUCCUGUCUCAAGCACACGCCUUGGACACAGGGUGGAUGGACAGGUCCAUGCACAGGGCACUGUCCUGCCUCAAGCACAUGCCUUGGACACAGGGUGGAGGACAGGUCCGUGUACAGGGGGGUACUGUCCUGCCUCAAGCACAUGCCUUGGACACAGGGUGGACGGACAGGUCCGUGCACAGACACUGUCCACCUUCAAACACACGCCUUGGCGGCAUUCUCUCUUGUGUUUAAGACUUUUUCUGAAAUCUGGAAGUUAGCGUUAGGGUAUGUUUAAAGAUGUUUACACCUUUGAAGAUAACAGACAACCAACGAGGAAACAGACUCACAGAGUGAGCAGCCCAGGCCUCCUGUCCAUGGGCAAUUCUACACAGCCCUAGAAGAGGCACUGUUGAGAGUCCGGCUCAUUCACAGUGGCAACCAACUCAGCUAACCUCCACACACCCCUUUCCCCAUUUCCUCCUUCCAGUUUCUCAAUUGUGAUCUUUUUUGAUUACCUUAAAAUAAAAUUUCUGCCCACAA
Molecule: long non-coding RNA, 11759 nt
Organism: Mus musculus (house mouse)
Lineage: Eukaryota; Metazoa; Chordata; Mammalia; Rodentia; Muridae
Product: predicted gene, 46659
Exons: 2
Source: RefSeq, a predicted model, not a curated record